UAAGGACCUUCCUACCUGUCUGUUGCA
This 27-nucleotide non-coding RNA is filed under the name Mus musculus (house mouse). Lineage: Eukaryota; Metazoa; Chordata; Mammalia; Rodentia; Muridae. The record is from RNAcentral.